Molecule: transfer RNA, 74 nt
Filed under: Marmota monax (woodchuck)
Lineage: Eukaryota; Metazoa; Chordata; Mammalia; Rodentia; Sciuridae
Description: tRNA.Ala
Source: RNAcentral
GCUGGGGUUGUGGCCAGUGGUAGAGCACUUGCCUAGCAUGUAUAGGGGCACUGGGUUCGAUUCUCAGCACAGCA